Molecule: ribosomal RNA, 243 nt
Filed under: uncultured bacterium
Lineage: Bacteria
Description: partial 16S ribosomal RNA
Rfam family: Bacterial small subunit ribosomal RNA
Source: RNAcentral
GAAGGUCCGGGCGUUAUCCGGAUUUAUUGGGUUUAAAGGGAGCGUAGACGGCAGCGCAAGUCUGGAGUGAAAUCCCGGGGCUCAACCCCGGAACUGCUUUGGAAACUGUGCAGCUGGAGUGCAGGAGAGGUAAGCGGAAUUCCUAGUGUAGCGGUGAAAUGCGUAGAUAUUAGGAGGAACACCGGUGGCGAAGGCGGCUUACUGGACUGUAACUGACGUUGAGGCUCGAAAGCGUGGGGAGCA